Long non-coding RNA from Mastomys coucha (southern multimammate mouse), 724 nucleotides. RefSeq lists it as uncharacterized. The transcript has 4 exons. NCBI's taxonomy places the organism in Eukaryota, Metazoa, Chordata, Mammalia, Rodentia, Muridae. The record is from RefSeq and is a predicted model, not a curated record.
GUUCAAGAGUCCAGGAGGACUGGUAUCCGCUGGUCUUCAGUGCACGCUGGAAUCCUGAAGAAACGGAUUGUAAAUCCAGAGAAGAAAUGGACAUGCGAGUGAGAAGGUCUUCCACACAUCUGGAGCCAAAUGACUCUGCUGUCGCCUGACUCAAGGUUGACCUGUCAGAUCAGGUUGGUGGGCAAGCUUCCAGGAACAGCUGUGACCUUCUAGGAAGGGCCAGCCAGCAGUCAAGCCGGGAAGUGUGAUGGACAGAUGACAGCUACGUGUUUCUAACACUGUUGGUUAGAAACUUUCUCUAUUCUGCACAUCAGCAAGUGACUCUGGCUCCUGAGACCUCUACCAUCAAGCUUUCAAGGACAACUGGGUUCUCACCCCCAGUAGACCAAGCUGUUACCUAUACCACAGAAGCUGCAAGAGCCCCUGCCCUGGUCCCUUCAGACCUCACUCUCUGCACAGUGCUCCCAUGCAAUGAUGCUCUAUGUUCUAGCCAUGUCUUCCCAGCCGGAGCCAGCAUUCUGGGAGCCAAGCCUCCAGUUAGCCCAAAGAAGCAGUGAUGAAAAACUGGGCAGUGACCAUGCCUCACAGCUUGUGCUACAAGAUUUCGUGGUGGCCCGGGGAGGUAGCCUUGGUGAUGCUGCACUUUUGCUCAGGCCUCUACUAACUCAAAGAGAACACACAUCUUAGGCUGUCCCUUGCCCUGGCACAUUCCUCUCACCUCUCU